GGUAAUGGCUCACCAAGGCAUCGAUCAAUAGGGGGUCUGAGAGGAUGUCCCCCCACACUGGUACUGAGACACGGACCAGACUCCUACGGGAGGCAGCAGUAGGGAAUAUUGGACAAUGGGCGCAAGCCUGAUCCAGCCAUGCCGCGUGCAGGAUGAAGGCCCUAUGGGUCGUAAACUGCUUUUGUACGGGAAGAAACCUGAUUACGUGUAAUCAGCUGACGGUACCGUGAGAAUAAGGAUCGGCUAACUUCGUGCCAGCAGCCGCGGUAAUACGAAGGAUCCAAGCGUUGUCCGGAUUUACUGGGUUUAAAGGGAGCGUAGGCGGACUUUUAAGUCAGUGGUGAAAGCUUGCAGCUUAACUGUGAAAUUGCCAUUGAAACUGAAAGUCUCGAGUAUGGUUGAGGUGACUGGAAUAUAUCAUGUAGCGGUGAAAUGCUUAGAUAUGAUAUAGAACACCAAUUGCGAAGGCAGGUCACUAAACCAUAACUGACGCUGAGGCUCGAAAGCGUGGGGAUCAAACAGGAUUAGAUACCCUGGUAG
This 540-nucleotide ribosomal RNA is filed under the name uncultured microorganism. Its description in RNAcentral is "bacterial SSU rRNA". It matches the Rfam family "Bacterial small subunit ribosomal RNA", at positions 256 to 793 of the family's 1533-position model. The record is from RNAcentral.